CAUUAGAUGACUGAAAGUAAGUAUUGGUCUCUUAAACCACCCUAUAGUAAACUAACAAUUACUUCUAAUGA
RNAcentral lists this transfer RNA (71 nucleotides) under Philolithus aegrotus. RNAcentral describes it as "tRNA-Lys". Lineage: Eukaryota; Metazoa; Arthropoda; Insecta; Coleoptera; Tenebrionidae. The record is from RNAcentral.